GAUGAACGCUGGCGGCGUGCCUAAUACAUGCAAGUCGAACGCUGAAGGAAGGAGCUUGCUCUUUCCGGAUGAGUUGCGAACGGGUGAGUAACGCGUAGGUAACCUGCCUGGUAGCGGGGGAUAACUAUUGGAAACGAUAGCUAAUACCGCAUAACAGUAGAUAUUGCAUGAUAUCUGCUUGAAAGGGGCAAUUGCUCCACUACCAGAUGGACCUGCGUUGUAUUAGCUAGUUGGUGAGGUAACGGCUCACCAAGGCGACGAUACAUAGCCGACCUGAGAGGGUGAUCGGCCACACUGGGACUGAGACACGGCCCAGACUCCUACGGGAGGCAGCAGUAGGGAAUCUUCGGCAAUGGACGGAAGUCUGACCGAGCAACGCCGCGUGAGUGAAGAAGGUUUUCGGAUCGUAAAGCUCUGUUGUAAGAGAAGAACGAGUGUGAGAGUGGAAAGUUCACACUGUGACGGUAUCUUACCAGAAAGGGACGGCUAACUACGUG
RNAcentral lists this ribosomal RNA (497 nucleotides) under uncultured bacterium. RNAcentral describes it as "partial 16S ribosomal RNA". It matches the Rfam family "Bacterial small subunit ribosomal RNA", at positions 28 to 507 of the family's 1533-position model. The record is from RNAcentral.